UCUGCUCUGGUUUUAAAACUUAUUUUUUUUUUCUUUCCUAUUCUACUCUAGAGAUCUGAAAACUAUUUUGUGUCGAUAAAAUUUAUGACUCUGCAAACCCUUGUAAAUAGUCACAGUCUUCAAAACUCCAAAUAGUAGUAGUUGUCAUUUAAAGUCACAUGGUUUUUCAUCAAGCUGCACAUGAGGUAUUGUAAACUUAAACCACAUUCGGACUGCAACUCUAUAUAUAUAUAUAUAUAACAAAUUUUAAAUACCUUCAUUCAGUUUUUAUCAGCGGUAGCUAGUACUUAACAUGGAAAAAAGAGAUUUUCAUUUUCUUACAAACUUAGAAUAUUGUUAAGUGGUCAAGGCUCAAUUGACUUCUUGAUUGGUAAAC
Molecule: long non-coding RNA, 376 nt
Filed under: Mytilus galloprovincialis (Mediterranean mussel)
Lineage: Eukaryota; Metazoa; Mollusca; Bivalvia; Mytilida; Mytilidae
Source: RNAcentral